AGAAAAAGUAGUUAAAAUAUAACAUAACAUUGUCAAAGUUAAAUUGCUUUUAUAGUCUUUUUCUA
This 65-nucleotide transfer RNA is filed under the name Scirtothrips dorsalis. Its description in RNAcentral is "tRNA-Asp". Lineage: Eukaryota; Metazoa; Arthropoda; Insecta; Thysanoptera; Thripidae. The record is from RNAcentral.